Molecule: ribosomal RNA, 208 nt
Filed under: uncultured bacterium
Lineage: Bacteria
Description: partial 16S ribosomal RNA
Rfam family: Bacterial small subunit ribosomal RNA
Source: RNAcentral
GGAUCGCAGGCUGCAACCCGCCUGCGUGAAGUCGGAAUCGCUAGUAAUCGCGGAUCAGCAUGCCGCGGUGAAUACGUUCCCGGGCCUUGUACACACCGCCCGUCACACCAUGAGAGUCGGGAACACCCGAAGUCCGUAGCCUAACUAGCAAUAGAGGGCGCGGCCGAAGGUGGGUUCGAUAAUUGGGGUGAAGUCGUAACAAGGUAUC